RNAcentral lists this ribosomal RNA (460 nucleotides) under uncultured bacterium. Its description in RNAcentral is "partial 16S ribosomal RNA". It matches the Rfam family "Bacterial small subunit ribosomal RNA", at positions 338 to 795 of the family's 1533-position model. The record is from RNAcentral.
CCUACGGGUGGCAGCAGUGAGGAAUAUUGGGCAAUGGACGAGAGUCUGAACCAGCCAAGUAGCGUGAGGGAUGACUGCCCUAUGGGUUGUAAACUUCUUUUAUAUGGAAAUAAAAUGUUCCACGUGUGGGAUUUUGUAUGUACCAUAUAAAUAAGGAACGGCUACCUCCGUGCAAGCAGCCGCGGUAAUACGGAGGAACCGAGCGUUAGCCGGAUUUAGUGGGUUUAAAGGGAGCGUAGGUGGAUUGUUAAGUCAGUUGUGAAAGUUUGCGGCUCAACCGUAAAAUUGCAGUUGAAACUGGUAGUCUUGAGUACAGUAGAGGGGGGUGGAAUUCGUGGUGUAGCGGUGAAAUGCUUAGAUAUCACGAAGAACUCCGAUUGCGAAGGCAGCUCACUGGAUUGCAACUGACACUGAGGCUCGAAAGUGUGGGUAUCAAACAGGAUUAGAUACCCUUGUAGUC